UACGAAGGGGGCUAGCGUUGCUCGGAAUCACUGGGCGUAAAGGGUGCGUAGGCGGGUCUUUAAGUCAGGGGGGAAAUCCUGGAGCUCAACUCCAGAACUGCCUUUGAUACUGAAGAUCUUGAGUUCGGGAGAGGUGAGUGGAACUGCGAGUGUAGAGGUGAAAUUCGUAGAUAUUAGGAAGAACACCAGUGGCGAAGGCGGCUCACUGGCCCGGUACUGACGCUGAGGCGCGAAAGCGUGGGGAGCAAACAGG
Molecule: ribosomal RNA, 253 nt
Filed under: uncultured bacterium
Lineage: Bacteria
Description: partial 16S ribosomal RNA
Rfam family: Bacterial small subunit ribosomal RNA
Source: RNAcentral